UACGUAGGGGGCAAGCGUUGUCCGGAAUCAUUGGGCGUAAAGCGCGUGUAGGCGGCCCAGUAAGUCCGCUCUGAAAGCCCGGGGCUUAACCCCGGGAGGCGGGUGGAUACUGCUGGGCUCGAGUCCGGAAGAGGCGAGUGGAAUUCCCGGUGUAGCGGUGAAAUGCGCAGAUAUCGGGAGGAACACCGGUGGCGAAGGCGGAUCUCUGGGCCUUACCUGACGCUCAGGCGCGAAAGCUAGGGGAGCGAACAGG
This 253-nucleotide ribosomal RNA is filed under the name uncultured bacterium. RNAcentral describes it as "partial 16S ribosomal RNA". It matches the Rfam family "Bacterial small subunit ribosomal RNA", at positions 524 to 776 of the family's 1533-position model. The record is from RNAcentral.